UGGGGAAUCUUGGACAAUGGGGGCAACCCUGAUCCAGCCAUGCCGCGUGAGUGAUGAAGGCCUUAGGGUCGUAAAGCUCUUUCGCCUGUGAAGAUAAUGACGGUAGCAGGUAAAGAAACCCCGGCUAACUCCGUGCCAGCAGCCGCGGUAAUACGGAGGGGGUUAGCGUUGUUCGGAAUUACUGGGCGUAAAGCGCACGUAGGCGGACCAGAAAGUUGGGGGUGAAAUCCCGGGGGCUCAACCCCGGAACUGCCUUUGAUACUGUCAGUCUUGAGUCCGGAAGAGGCGAGUGGAAUACCAAGUGUAGAGGUGAAAUUCGUAGAUAUUUGGAGGAACACCAGUGGCGAAGGCGGCUCACUGGCUCGAUACUGACGCUGAGGUGCGAAAGUGUGGGGAGCAAACAGGAUUAGAUACCCUGGUAGUCCACACCGUAAACGAUGAAUGCCAGUCGUCGGGUAGCAUGCUAUUCGGUGACACACCUAACGGAUUAAGCAUUCCGCCUGGGGAGUACGGUCGCAG
This 519-nucleotide ribosomal RNA is filed under the name uncultured bacterium. Its description in RNAcentral is "bacterial SSU rRNA". It matches the Rfam family "Bacterial small subunit ribosomal RNA", at positions 355 to 891 of the family's 1533-position model. The record is from RNAcentral.